This 476-nucleotide ribosomal RNA is filed under the name uncultured organism. RNAcentral describes it as "partial 16S ribosomal RNA". It matches the Rfam family "Bacterial small subunit ribosomal RNA", at positions 331 to 798 of the family's 1533-position model. The record is from RNAcentral.
GUACACUCCUGCGGGAGGCAGCAGUGGGGAAUUUUGGACAAUGGGCGAAAGCCUGAUCCAGCAAUGCCGCGUGAGUGAAGAAGGCCUUCGGGUUGUAAAGCUCUUUUGUCAGGGAAGAAACGGUGAGAGCUAAUAUCUUUUGCUAAUGACGGUACCUGAAGAAUAAGCACCGGCUAACUACGUGCCAGCAGCCGCGGUAAUACGUAGGGUGCAAGCGUUAAUCGGAAUUACUGGGCGUAAAGCGUGCGCAGGCGGUUUUGUAAGUCUGAUGUGAAAUCCCCGGGCUCAACCUGGGAAUUGCAUUGGAGACUGCAAGGCUAGAAUCUGGCAGAGGGGGGUAGAAUUCCACGUGUAGCAGUGAAAUGCGUAGAUAUGUGGAGGAACACCGAUGGCGAAGGCAGCCCCCUGGGUCAAGAUUGACGCUCAUGCACGAGAGCGUGGGGAGCAAACAGGAUUAGAUACCCGGGUAGUCCCAU